This 494-nucleotide ribosomal RNA is filed under the name uncultured bacterium. Its description in RNAcentral is "partial 16S ribosomal RNA". It matches the Rfam family "Bacterial small subunit ribosomal RNA", at positions 30 to 507 of the family's 1533-position model. The record is from RNAcentral.
AUUGAACGCUGGCGGCAUGCUUUACACAUGCAAGUCGAACGGCAGCACAGAGGAGCUUUCUUCUCUCCGGUCGCGUGGCGAAGACGUGUGUGAUAUACAGCGACGUCUACAGAUGCGGGGGGGAUAACGCCGGGAGACUGGCUCUUACAGCAUAAAUUAUCUACAAGAAAAAUGAGGACCUCUUCAUACGUUUCGCGCUUUUUUAAGGGCCGAUGUCGGAUUAGCUAGUUGGUGGGGUAAAGGCUCACCAAGGCGAAGAUGUGUAGCUGGUCUGAGAGGAUGAUCCGCCACACUGGAACUGAGACACGGUCCAGACUCCUACGGGAGGCAGCAGUGGGGAAUUUUGGACAAUGGGCGCAAGCCUGAUCCAGCCAUGCCGCGUGGAUGAAGAAGGCCUUAGGGUUGUAAAGUACUUUUGUUGGGGAAGAAAAGUAAGCUGUGAAUAAUGGCUUAUACUGACGGUACCUAAAGAAUAAGCACCGGCUAACUUCGUG